RNAcentral lists this ribosomal RNA (253 nucleotides) under uncultured bacterium. RNAcentral's name for it is "partial 16S ribosomal RNA". It matches the Rfam family "Bacterial small subunit ribosomal RNA", at positions 524 to 776 of the family's 1533-position model. The record is from RNAcentral.
GACAGAGGGGGCAAGCGUUGCUCGGAAUUACUGGGCGUAAAGGGCUCGUAGGCGGCCAACUAAGUCGGACGUGAAAUCCCUCGGCUUAACCGGGGAACUGCAUCCGAUACUGGAGGGCUUGAGUUUGGGAGAGGGAUGCGGAAUUCCAGGUGUAGCGGUGAAAUGCGUAGAUAUCUGGAGGAACACCGGUGGCGAAGGCGGCAUCCUGGACCAACACUGACGCUGAGGAGCGAAAGCCAGGGGAGCAAACGGG